UCAAUUUUAAUCAGUAGUUCUGUCCUACUUUGUCUAAUUGAAAAAGUAAGUUCUAUAUCAGACCUGAGCACCUAAUCGUGGCUGAACAUGGGAGACAAAGAAAUAGGAGGAGAUCAUCUGAAUUAAUUAAAAACAAGU
This is a long non-coding RNA of Thalassophryne amazonica, 138 nucleotides long. RefSeq lists it as uncharacterized. NCBI's taxonomy places the organism in Eukaryota, Metazoa, Chordata, Actinopteri, Batrachoidiformes, Batrachoididae. The record is from RefSeq and is a predicted model, not a curated record. The transcript is spliced from 2 exons.